This 1888-nucleotide ribosomal RNA is filed under the name Orbilia eucalypti. RNAcentral's name for it is "eukaryotic LSU rRNA". The stretch from base 1260 to 1888 matches the Rfam family "Eukaryotic large subunit ribosomal RNA", at positions 1 to 648 of the family's 3401-position model. The record is from RNAcentral. Lineage: Eukaryota; Fungi; Ascomycota; Orbiliomycetes; Orbiliales; Orbiliaceae.
CCUUAGAUGUUCUGGGCCGCACGCGCGCUACACUGACAGGGCCAACGAGUUCCAACCUUGACCGAGAGGUCUGGGUAAUCUUGUUAAACCCUGUCGUGCUGGGGAUAGAGCAUUGCAAUUAUUGCUCUUCAACGAGGAAUAUCUAGUAAGCGCAAGUCAUCAGCUUGCGUUGAUUACGUCCCUGCCCUUUGUACACACCGCCCGUCGCUACUACCGAUUGAAUGGCUCAGUGAGGCCUUCGGACUGGCUCAGGGAGGUCGGCAACGACCACCCAGAGCCGGAAAGUUGGUCAAACUUGGUCAUUUAGAGGAAGUAAAAGUCGUAACAAGGUUUGAAUCGGUCCUUCCGUGACGCCCAUGAGAAGCCUUUGUGGCCCCGCAAGGGGUAUCAGCCGCGACUGAAAAGAAUGAUGUUGGUAUUAAAUCGCAAGUCGCGCCGCUCAGCGGCCGGCAACACUUUCGAAUUGCGGGGACACCCUAAAGCCCUCUCUACCAACCCGGACGGGAAACCGUUCGGGGGCCGCUGCUAACCGCACCGGGUAAGGUAAUAACGAGAUGGGAUACGUGGGCGAUCCGCAGCCAAAUCCCUAAAGCCGCCAGGCCAUGGGAAAGGUCCACAGACUAAGUGGAAGUGGGCUGACUUCGGUCAGCUUAAGAUAUAGUCGGGCCCGGCGGGAAACUGCCGGGGAGUCAUGCGACUCAGUAACAAACUGUUCCGUAGGUGAACCUGCGGAAGGAUCAUUAACAAAUGUCCUUUGACAAAGCUUUGUGCCGGUUCGCCGGCCAGAGUUUCAACCUUUUGUGAACAAACUUAUAUUCGCUUCGGCAGCUGGUCCGGGUUCGCGCCUGGCCGUCAGCCUGCCGGCAGCAACAAAUCAAACUUGCAUUUAUAACCUGUCUGAAACCAUUCUAAAUCUGAAUGAAAAUUAAAACUUUCAACAACGGAUCUCUUGGUUCUCGCAUCGAUGAAGAACGCAGCGAAACGCGAUAGUUAAUGUGAAUUGCAGAAUUCAGUGAAUCAUCGAGUCUUUGAACGCACAUUGCGCCCAUUGGUAUUCCGAUGGGCACGUCUGUUUGAGCGUCAUUGCAACCCCUCAGCCGGCUUCUGCCGGUGUGGUAUUGGGCCCGGGCACCCGUAUGGGGCUCCGGCUUUAAAGUUGCAUGCUCUGCGGACCCUGCCGCCCCAAGAACAUAGUAUAACGCUAACUGCUCUGAAAGGUGUGCUGGGCUUCCGCCUGAACAAACUCUCUUACUAAGGUUUGACCUCAGAUCAGACGAGGAUACCCGCUGAACUUAAGCAUAUCAAUAAGCGGAGGAAAAGAAACCAACAGGGAUUGCCUCAGUAACGGCGAGUGAAGCGGCAAUAGCUCAAAUUUGAAAUCUGGCGCCUUCGGUGUCCGAGUUGUAAUUUGAAGAGGAUGCCUCGGUUGUGGCCCCGGCCUAAGUUCCUUGGAACAGGACGUCGCAGAGGGUGAGAAUCCCGUACGCGGCUGACGGCUCACUUCCAUGUGUGGCUCCCUCGAAGAGUCGAGUUGUUUGGGAAUGCAGCUCAAAAUGGGUGGUAAAUUUCAUCUAAAGCUAAAUACUGGCGAGAGACCGAUAGCGCACAAGUAGAGUGAUCGAAAGAUGAAAAGCACUUUGAAAAGAGAGUUAAACAGUACGUGAAAUUGUUGAAAGGGAAGCGCUUGCAAUCAGACUCGCUUGCGGUUGAUCAACGUUCCUUCUGGUUCGUGCACUCUUCCGUUUGCGGGCCAGCAUCGGUUAGGACGGCGGGACAAAGGCGUCGGGAAUGUGGCCUUUCGGGGUGUUAUAGCCCGGCGCGCAAUGCCGCCUGCCCUGACCGAGGUCCGCGCUUCGGCUAGGAUGCUGGCUUAAUGGUUGUAAGCGAC